This is a non-coding RNA of Pelobates cultripes (western spadefoot toad), 245 nucleotides long. The record is from the annotation of a GenBank genome assembly. NCBI's taxonomy places the organism in Eukaryota, Metazoa, Chordata, Amphibia, Anura, Pelobatidae.
UGCGCUGGGAGUGCGCUUGCGUUGCACGCCUUGUCCUCCUCCUAUCUGGAAGUUCUGUUCCGGUUUCCUUGUGCGUGUGACUUGCAUCACUUCUGCUUUUGUCAAUUCCGGUUGCUGUGAAGACUUGUGUGCGUAUCAGCGGCCACUGUCUUUGCGUUCCACUUAAAUGUCCGAUAGUGGAAGUGGUAUUUAGGGUAAUGGAUGGAUUCAUAAUCUCUUGUGGAAAUGUCCAUAUAUGUAAGAUC